This 253-nucleotide ribosomal RNA is filed under the name uncultured bacterium. RNAcentral describes it as "partial 16S ribosomal RNA". It matches the Rfam family "Bacterial small subunit ribosomal RNA", at positions 524 to 776 of the family's 1533-position model. The record is from RNAcentral.
UACGUAGGCAGCAAGCGUUGUUCGGAGUUACUGGGCGUAAAGGGUGCGUAGGCGGUUGUUUAAGUUUGGUGUGAAAUCUCCCGGCUCAACUGGGAGGGUGCGCCGAAUACUGAAUGACUAGAGUGCGGGAGAGGAGAGUGGAAUUCCUGGUGUAGCGGUGAAAUGCGUAGAUAUCAGGAGGAACACCGGUGGUGUAGACGGCUCUCUGGACCGUAACUGACGCUGAGGCACGCAAGCGUGGGUAGCAAACAGG